AGAAUCAACGCUGGCGGCGUGCCUCAGACAUGCAAGUCGAACGCGAAAGUCCCCUUCGGGGGGCAAGUAGAGUGGCGCACGGGUGAGUAACACGUAGGUAAUCUACCUUUGGAUGGGGAAUAACAAUCGGAAACGAUUGCUAAUACCGCAUAAUGCAGCGGCACCUAAUGGUGACAGUUGUUAAAGCGGGGGAUCGAAAGACCUCGCGUCUGAAGAGGAGCCUGCGGCGGAUUAGCUAGUUGGUAAGGUAAUGGCUUACCAAGGCUACGAUCC
Molecule: ribosomal RNA, 273 nt
Filed under: uncultured soil bacterium
Lineage: Bacteria
Description: partial 16S ribosomal RNA
Rfam family: Bacterial small subunit ribosomal RNA
Source: RNAcentral